AUAUCUUUCUCAGCCUUUUGGCUAUUUGGGGUGUGUUUAGUUCGCGAAAGAAAUUAUUAAACGUGGGAACUAAACAAGAUUAACUGUUCGGCCAUAUGCUCACUUCGAUAUUAAAUUUAUUAUUUGUGGGGGAGGGCUCAUCACAGUGGCAAGCCCAUGCCACUGGGGCCCUCGCGCGUCGCCCAGGCGUUGCACUGCUGCCCGGGCCUGGCGCACCCAAC
RNAcentral lists this small nuclear RNA (221 nucleotides) under Oryza sativa Indica Group (long-grained rice). RNAcentral describes it as "snRNA U2". It matches the Rfam family "U2 spliceosomal RNA". Rfam says of the family: U2 is a small nuclear RNA (snRNA) component of the spliceosome (involved in pre-mRNA splicing). The record is from Rfam by way of RNAcentral. Lineage: Eukaryota; Viridiplantae; Streptophyta; Magnoliopsida; Poales; Poaceae.